RNAcentral lists this ribosomal RNA (479 nucleotides) under uncultured bacterium. RNAcentral describes it as "partial 16S ribosomal RNA". It matches the Rfam family "Bacterial small subunit ribosomal RNA", at positions 28 to 507 of the family's 1533-position model. The record is from RNAcentral.
GAUGAACGCUAGCGGGAGGCCUAACACAUGCAAGCCGAGCGGUAUUGUUUCUUCGGAAACGAGAGAGCGGCGUACGGGUGCGUAACACGUGUGCAACCUGCCUUUAUCUGGGGGAUAGCCUUUCGAAAGGAAGAUUAAUACUCCAUAAUAUAUUGAACGGCAUCGUUUAAUAUUGAAAGCUCCGGCGGAUAGAGAUGGGCACGCGCAAGAUUAGCUAGUUGGUGAGGUAACGGCUCACCAAGGCGAUGAUCUUUAGGGGGCCUGAGAGGGUGAUCCCCCACACUGGUACUGAGACACGGACCAGACUCCUACGGGAGGCAGCAGUGAGGAAUAUUGGUCAAUGGGUGCAAGCCUGAACCAGCCAUCCCGCGUGAAGGACGACUGCCCUAUGGGUUGUAAACUUCUUUUGUAUAGGGAUAAACCUACCCUCGAGAGGGUAGCUGAAGGUACUAUACGAAUAAGCACCGGCUAACUCCGUG